RNAcentral lists this long non-coding RNA (1251 nucleotides) under Marmota monax (woodchuck). The record is from RNAcentral. Lineage: Eukaryota; Metazoa; Chordata; Mammalia; Rodentia; Sciuridae.
UUUUUUUUUCCCACUAUUAUAAAUAACAGCCAGCAGAGAGAUUUGGGGUGCAACAUCUUGUCUUCAAAGCAAGCUUACACUUUGUCAUUUCAUUUGGAUAUCAUCUCUUGCCAGAGAGGUAAUAUCCCCAUUUUAUAGCUGGGGAAAAUAAUCUAGGAAGGAGAGACUUUUCCACAUAUCUCACUAAUCUUGGUGGGAAGGUGGCUGGCUGGGCCAGUGAAAGGUGACCAAUGUAAGAUGAAAGGUGGCGUUUGACUUCAGUGUUAGGUUAAGAAUAGGGAGUGAUGGGGGCUGUGGAUGAAAGAGACAUUAAUUAAGUCUCUUAGGGCCAGACACCAACAACUUGAAGUGUUAAAGUGACGCCCAGGGUUGUGUGAGCUUCUGGUCUUGAACUAAAGUGGGAAAUGCACAUUAUACAUGAAAUAUCUCGGUAAAAAGUGUUGCAAGAUCAUGACCCCUGCUUCAGGCCUGAAUUUAACUGUUUUUGUUUUUGUUUUUGUUUUUGUUUUUUUUGUCCUGAUUUAUAAUUUAAUGGGGGUAUGGGGGCAGGGAUUGGUUUUGUUUUCUGAACUUCUUGCCUCUUAUUUAUUUAUUUGUUUGUUUUAUUAAUUGGCAGCUCUGGGGAUUGAACCCAGAGCCUCUUGCAUGCUAGUGAAGUGCUCUACUUACUACUGGGUCACACCCUCAUUGUUACCUUCUACCUGAGCAAGGCACGUACAUAGUGGCCUUGAAUGAGACAAAAUUCCUACUUUUGAUUCUAAAACAGGAGUCCAAAAUAUGAGUUUUAUGGCUGGUAUUUAAUGCAGCAGAUAAUUAAGAGCCCCCCCAAGGCCCCAACUGUUCUGCAGCCCUGUGAAGUUAAAUGGCCCAGAAAAGAUCAUUUUUGUGGCUUUCCACCAUACAAUUCCCAGUGGCCUUUUGUCCACUGGGCACUGGUGAGCAAGUCUUGACAAUUUUCACCUCUUCCCCUAUCCAUGCUGUUGGCUAGAACCCAGAGCCUCGUGCAUGUCAGGCAAGCAUUCUACCCUCUGAGCUACAUCUCCAGCCCUGCUCACUUCCCUAAUACAAUUCUGCCCCCAGGCCACAGUUUUGCUUAAUGUUCCCAGUGACUUUAUUGUGUGUCAGGCAGACAUCGCUAUAAAUUCUCAAAAUGUGUCCAGUUCCCCACUUUUCACUUUUCUCCGCCUCCAUUUUCCUCUAGGAAACAGUAUCCUGGUUAGGAGUGGGACUCCUAAAGCCACGUUACUUCGG